AAGACAGGGUCUCAUUUGCUCUGACUCUUAAGCUGGAGAGUAGUGGCGCAAGCAUGGUUCACUGAAACCUUGACCUCCUGGACUCAAGUGAUCGUCCCACCUCAGCCUCUUGAGUAGCUGAGACCACAAAUGCACACCACUGCACCUGGCUAAUUUAUUUUUAGUUUUUGUAGAUACAGGGUCUCCUUAUUUUGCCCAGGCUGGUCUUGAAUGCAUGGGCUCAAGCAAGGUACCCAACCUGGCCUCUCAAAAUGUUGGGAUUACAGGUCUGAACCACUGCACUCAGCCUGUAUGUACACUUAAGGAAUAAUUAUAAAAGUGAACUUUAUAGCUACCCAUCAUCCAGGUCCAAAAAGAACAUUUUCUUCACACCAGAAGUCCCCUGUGUACCCUUUCCUGAUCACAACUUCUUCUUCCCCUGAGGAGAUAAAUUACCAUCCUGACUUUUGGUAAUAAUCAUUAUCUGUUAUCACCAAACAUAAUUUAGUUUUGUGUGUUUUUGAACUUGAAUAGAUGAAAUUAUGCUGUUUACAGUAGUUCCCCCUUAUCUACGGGGGGAUAUGUUCUAAGACCCUCAGUGGAUGCCUGAAACAGCAGAUAGUACUGAACCUGAUUGCUGUCAAUGGAAACAUGUUUCUGUUUAUGUCUUCUACUCACAAAUUUAAUGCUUUUCACAUUUUAACUAAGCACUUAUCAUGCAUAGUGGCCAUAACGUUUGCAGUUUAAGGUGUGACAGCAAAACUAGCAUGAAUUUCUUUUUCUUUUUUUUUUUUUUUUUUGAGACGGAGUCUCUCUCUGUCACCCAGGCUGGAGUGCAAUGGCAUGAUCUUGGCUCACUGAAACCUCCACCUCCUGGGUUCAAGCAAUUCUCCUGCCUCAGCCUCCUGAGUAGCUGGGAUUACAGAUGUGCAUCACCGUGCCCAGCUAAUUUUUAUAUUUUCAGUAGAGAUGGGGUUUCAUCAUGUUGGCCAGGCUGGUCUCGAACUCCCAACCUCAGGUGAUCCACUCACCUCGGCCUCCCAAAGUGCUGGGAUUACAGGUGUGAGGCACUGUGCCUGGCCAUAAAUUUUUCUUUCCUCACAAUUCCACAGAAAGAAGACUCAUUUUUAUUGUAGAUCUUUUUUUUUUUUUUUUUGAGAUGGAGUUUCACUCUUGUCACCCAGGCUGGAGUGCAAUGGCACAGUCUUGGCCCACUGCAACCUCCCCAUCCCGGAUUCAAGCAGUUCUCCUGCCUCAACCCCCAGAGUAGCUGGGACUACAGACGCCCACCAUCAUGUCCCGCUAAUUUUUGUAUUUUUGGUAGAGACGGGGUUUCACCAUGUUGGCCAGACUGGUCUUGAACUCCUGACCUCAGGUGAUCCACCGGCCUCAGCCUCCCAAAGUGGUGGGAUUACAGGCGUGAGCCACCAUGCCUGGCCAUGACUUUCUUUUUCUUUCCUCACAAUUCCAGAGGGAGAAGAUUCAUUUUAUUGUAGAUCUUAGCAGCCUUGGCAUAUGAUUCUUUUCUUCUUAUGAAGUCAAAAACUUUUAUCUUUCCACUUAAAAGAAGCACUUUAAUAAAGUCUAAUGAAGUCUACCAGGGUAUUGUCACUUUGAGAGUGUGUGUUUGUGUGCAUAGGCGGGUGAUAAACUUGGAGAAUGAAUUUCAUACAUUGGUAUUGUGGUACAUAAUAGAAGUUGCCAAUGUAAGUAAGAAAGAGGAAGGAAGGAAGAAAGAAGGCAGGAAGUAAGGAAGGAAGAAAGAAGGGAGGGAAGGAUGGAGGCAGGUUUUGGGUGAUGCUGGCUUUACUGUUUCUCUUUAACAAAUCUGAAUUGCUAGCAUCACUACUCUUGGGCUUUAGGGCCUUUAUUAAGUAAAAUAACAUAAGCACUGUGAUGCUGAACAGUUGAUCUGAUAAGCCAGAGGGCUCCUAAGUGACUCUAAGGGGUGUGUAGUGUGUAGAGCAUGGAUAUGCUGGGUAAAGGGAUGAUUCAUGUUCCAGGUGGGAUGGAGUUGCAUGGUUCAGGGUUUCAUCUUGCUACUCAGAACAGCGCCUGAUGUAAAACUUAUCAAUUGUUUAUUUCUAGGAAUUCACAUUUAAUAUUUUAAAUAUUAAUAUUUAAAUGUUUGCAUUUAAUACUUUUUAAAUUCUGCAUUUAAUAAUUUGAAUUUAAGACUUGUAAGUCCAUUGUACUUCAUUGUUAUACACAUUAUUGUUCUCUUCUCUCUUUUGGUGUUUAGGAAUGCUUUGUGUUAACACAAAGGCCAGGGUGAGAGCUGCAAGCCAGGGAAAGAUGAACCGAGGCAUUUAGAUUACCACCUACAUUGGCUUGCCAGACAGAAGCUCUGCCUGGGGAUAAAGAUGAGGAUAAACAUAAGGCAUUUGGUGUUUCCUUUGUGUCCUGACUUAGAAAUCUGACCAUGGACGAUGGAACGGGAAACUCACAUUUUAGGGUGUAUUAAUAGCUCUCUUUAGUCUUGAGAAAUAUCAGUGAGGCUGAAAGUGCCUUGGAAUGACUUUGCAGGUUUAAGAUAUGAAUGGGAAAAAAAAGAAAAAGGGAAGAAAAGGAGUAAGGAGAAAAGAAAAGGAG
RNAcentral lists this long non-coding RNA (2571 nucleotides) under Homo sapiens (human). RNAcentral's name for it is "HSALNT0358410". The record is from RNAcentral. Lineage: Eukaryota; Metazoa; Chordata; Mammalia; Primates; Hominidae.